UCCCUGGUGGCUCAGAUGGUAAAGCGUCUGCCUGCAAUGCAGGAGACCCAGGUUCGAUUCCUGGGUUGGGAA
RNAcentral lists this transfer RNA (72 nucleotides) under Bos taurus (domestic cattle). It matches the Rfam family "tRNA". From Rfam's summary of the family: Transfer RNA (tRNA) molecules are approximately 80 nucleotides in length. Their secondary structure includes four short double-helical elements and three loops (D, anti-codon, and T loops). The record is from Rfam by way of RNAcentral. RNAcentral also lists the same sequence under 4 other names. Lineage: Eukaryota; Metazoa; Chordata; Mammalia; Artiodactyla; Bovidae.